Molecule: ribosomal RNA, 1384 nt
Filed under: Rhizopus arrhizus
Lineage: Eukaryota; Fungi; Mucoromycota; Mucoromycetes; Mucorales; Rhizopodaceae
Description: SSU rRNA
Rfam family: Eukaryotic small subunit ribosomal RNA
Source: RNAcentral
UAGGAAUCCGGCUUGUUCUAGUAUAAAUAACUUUAUAUUGUGAAACUGCGAAUGGCUCAUUAAAUCAGUUAUGAUCUACGUGACAAAUUCUUUACUACUUGGAUAACCGUGGUAAUUCUAGAGCUAAUACAUGCAAAAAAGCCCUGACUUACGAAGGGGUGCACUUAUUAGAUAAAACCAACGCGGGGUAAAACCUGUUUCUUGGUGAAUCAUAAUAAUUAAGCGGAUCGCAUGGCCUUGUGCCGGCGACGGUCCACUCGAUUUUCUGCCCUAUCAUGGUUGAGAUUGUAAGAUAGAGGCUUACAAUGCCUACAACGGGUAACGGGGAAUUAGGGUUCGAUUCCGGAGAGGGAGCCUGAGAAACGGCUACCACAUCCAAGGAAGGCAGCAGGCGCGCAAAUUACCCAAUCCCGACACGGGGAGGUAGUGACAAUACAUAACAAUGCAGGGCCUUUAAGGUCUUGCAAUUGGAAUGAGUACAAUUUAAAUCCCUUAACGAGGAUCAAUUGGAGGGCAAGUCUGGUGCCAGCAGCCGCGGUAAUUCCAGCUCCAAUAGCGUAUAUUAAAGUUGUUGCAGUUAAAACGUCCGUAGUCAAACUUUAGUCUUACCGGCGUAGUGGCCUGGUCUUCAUUGACCAAGCUCAUUGCUGCCGGAGACUCCAUGUCCAUUGACUCCUAGUCCUCGUGGCUAGGGUUUUCUGGACAAUUACCAUGAGCAAAUCAGAGUGUUUAAAGCAGGCUUUUAAGCUUGAAUGUGUUAGCAUGGAAUAAUGAAAUAUGACUUUAGUCCUAUUUUCGUUGGUUUAGGUACUUCAGUAAUGAUGAAUAGAAACGGUUAGGGGCAUUUGUAUUUGGUCGCUAGAGGUGAAAUUCUUGGAUUGACCGAAGACAAACUACUGCGAAAGCAUUUGACCCGGGACGUUUUCAUUGAUCAAGGUCUAAAGUUAAGGGAUCGAAGACGAUUAGAUACCGUCGUAGUCUUAACCACAAACUAUGCCGACUAGAGAUUGGGCGUGUUUAUUAUGACUCGCUCAGCAUCUUAGCGAAAGUAAAGUUUUUGGGUUCUGGGGGGAGUAUGGGACGCAAGGCUGAAACUUAAAGGAAUUGACGGAAGGGCACCACCAGGAGUGGAGCCUGCGGCUUAAUUUGACUCAACACGGGGAAACUCACCAGGUCCAGACAUAGUAAGGAUUGACAGAUUGAAAGCUCUUUCUAGAUUCUAUGGGUGGUGGUGCAUGGCCGUUCUUAGUUCGUGGAGUGAUUUGUCUGGUUAAUUCCGAUAACGAACGAGACCUUAUUCUGCUAAUUAGACAGGCUAACUCUUUCGGGUUGGUUUAUAUUUAAUAUUUAACUGGCUCUUAGAGAGACUAUCGCUCAGCCGAAA